UACGUAGGUUCCGAGCGUUGUCCGGAUUUAUUGGGCGUAAAGCGAGCGCAGGUGGUUUAAUAAGUCUGAUGUAAAAGGCAGUGGCUCAACCAUUGUGUGCAUUGGAAACUGUUAGACUUGAGUGCAGUAGAGGAGAGUGGAAUUCCAUGUGUAGCGGUGAAAUGCGUAGAUAUAUGGAGGAACACCGGUGGCGAAAGCGGCUCUCUGGACUGUAACUGACACUGAGGCUCGAAAGCGUGGGUAGCAAACAGG
RNAcentral lists this ribosomal RNA (252 nucleotides) under uncultured microorganism. RNAcentral's name for it is "partial 16S ribosomal RNA". It matches the Rfam family "Bacterial small subunit ribosomal RNA", at positions 524 to 776 of the family's 1533-position model. The record is from RNAcentral.